Molecule: transfer RNA, 71 nt
Filed under: Streptoalloteichus hindustanus
Lineage: Bacteria; Bacillati; Actinomycetota; Actinomycetes; Pseudonocardiales; Pseudonocardiaceae
Rfam family: tRNA
About the family: Transfer RNA (tRNA) molecules are approximately 80 nucleotides in length. Their secondary structure includes four short double-helical elements and three loops (D, anti-codon, and T loops).
Source: Rfam by way of RNAcentral
CGGGUCGUAGCGCAGAGGCAGGCGCGUCGCACCGGCAGGGCGGUCACGUCGGUUCGAAUCCGACCACCCGG